RNAcentral lists this transfer RNA (87 nucleotides) under Synergistaceae bacterium. RNAcentral's name for it is "tRNA-Leu". It matches the Rfam family "tRNA". Rfam says of the family: Transfer RNA (tRNA) molecules are approximately 80 nucleotides in length. Their secondary structure includes four short double-helical elements and three loops (D, anti-codon, and T loops). Lineage: Bacteria; Thermotogati; Synergistota; Synergistia; Synergistales; Synergistaceae. The record is from RNAcentral.
GCCGGGAUGGCGGAAUUGGUAGACGCACGGGACUUAAAAUCCUGUGAACGUAAGUUCGUGCGGGUUCGAUUCCCGCUCUCGGCACCA